GAUGAACGCUGGCGGCGUGCCUAAUACAUGCAAGUCGAGCGAACAGACGAGGAGCUUGCUCCUCUGACGUUAGCGGCGGACGGGUGAGUAACACGUGGAUAACCUACCUAUAAGACUGGGAUAACUUCGGGAAACCGGAGCUAAUACCGGAUAAUAUAUUGAACCGCAUGGUUCAAUAGUGAAAGACGGUUUUGCUGUCACUUAUAGAUGGAUCCGCGCCGCAUUAGCUAGUUGGUAAGGUAACGGCUUACCAAGGCGACGAUGCGUAGCCGACCUGAGAGGGUGAUCGGCCACACUGGAACUGAGACACGGUCAAGACUCCUACGGGAGGCAGCAGUAGGGAAUCUUCCGCAAUGGGCGAAAGCCUGACGGAGCAACGCCGCGUGAGUGAUGAAGGUCUUCGGAUCGUAAAACUCUGUUAUUAGGGAAGAACAGAUGUGUAAGUAACUAUGCACGUCUUGACGGUACCUAAUCAGAAAGCAACGGCUAACUACGUG
Molecule: ribosomal RNA, 497 nt
Filed under: uncultured bacterium
Lineage: Bacteria
Description: partial 16S ribosomal RNA
Rfam family: Bacterial small subunit ribosomal RNA
Source: RNAcentral